Molecule: RNA transcript, 2816 nt
Organism: Prosopis cineraria
Lineage: Eukaryota; Viridiplantae; Streptophyta; Magnoliopsida; Fabales; Fabaceae
Gene name: putative disease resistance RPP13-like protein 1
Exons: 5
Source: RefSeq, a predicted model, not a curated record
AGAGUUGUGUAUAAUUCAAUUGCUGAUCAUUUUGAUGGUUUAUGUUUUCUUUCUAAUGUUAGAGAAAAUUCUAACAAGCAUGACUUGUCCAAUCUCCAAGAGACAUUACUUUAUGAAUUGGAGAAGGAACUCAAGUUGGGUGAUUUCCAUAAAGGAAUUUCAAUAAUGGAACAUAGGCUUCGACAAAAGAAGAUUCUUUUAAUCCUUAAUGAUGUUGAUAAAUUGAAGCAGUUAAAAGCACUAGCUGGAAGCUGUGACUGGUUUGGCUCUAGAAGUAGAAUCAUCAUUACGACAAGGAAUAAACAGCUCUUAGCAAGUCAUAGGGUUCAUAAAAUUUAUGCUGUCAAGAAAUUAAGUUAUAAGGAGUCUCUUCAGUUGAUUAAAUGGAAUGCUUUCAAAAAGGUCUUAUGAAUUCAGAUUACAUAGAUGUUUUAAACCGUGCAAUUAUUUAUUCAUGUGGCCUUCCCUUGGCGUUGGAAGUGAUUGGCUCUAACUUAUGUGAUAAAAUAGUUGAUAAAUGGAGUUUUGCAUUAGAUGAGUAUGAAAGAAUACCUAUUAAAGAAGUUUUUGAAGUCCUUAAAUUAAGUUAUGAUGCUUUGGAAGAAACACAUGAAGAAAUUUUUCUUGACAUGGCUUGUUUCUUUAAUGGAGAGAAAUUAGGAGAUGUCAAAAAUGUGUUGAAGAUUAUCCGUGGUGUCGAACCAACUUAUGCUAUUGAAGUAUUGACUGAUAGAUCUCUAAUAAAGAUUAAAAAAGAUCGUGUGACAAUGCACGACUUGAUAGAAGAUAUGGGUAAGAAAAUUGUUCGUGGACAAUCACCAAGAGAACCUGGUAAUCGCAGUAAGUUAUGGUCUUAUGAGGACAUUAUUCACGUGUUGCAAAAUGACACAGUAAGAGCACAAUGUACAUCACUCUUCAUUUAAUGCUUAUCUUUAUAUGACUUUUGUAUCUAAUUUCCAGCAUUUAUUGUGUGUUUUUCAUUUUAAACGGGAUCCAAAGAAAUUGAAGUCAUGAUUCUUGAUUCUCCUAAAGGUAAAGAAAUUCAAUGGAGUCGAGAGGAAUUCAGAAGGAUGAAGAACCUCAAAUUUCUUGCCAUAAAAAGUGCAAGUUUUCCUGAAGUCCCCAAAUAUCUCCCAAAAUGGAAGCGGUGUCCUUUGGAGCUCUUGCCUUCCAAUUUUUGUCCAACCCAACUUGUCCAAUAGCUGGUUUGCAAACCUCCAACCAUUUAUUAAGAUAAUGCAAGGAACUUUAUGAUAUUGUGCAAAUGCCACCAAACUUGGAACAAUUAAGUGCCAUAAGUUGUACAUCAUUGUCAGAGUUAUCCAAAGGCGAAGUGCUGAAUAAGGCAUUCUACUUAGAACCUCAGAAAAGAAACUUUAUUUGCCGGGAAAGAAAAUCCCUGAGUGCCUUGACCAUUAUAGUCGAGGAAGUUCCAUGCCAUUUUGGAUUCGUGAUGAGUUCCCAACAAUUUUUCUUUGGUUUCUUGUUGAAAAUGUCGAAGAUUCUCCCUACAAGUGUAUGUUCUCAGUACACAUCAAUGACAUCAAGUUAGAUGUUAAUUCUUCUGGGUGGCUUCUACUAUCAACAAUAAAGACUAACCAUAUAUACAUAUGUGAUUUGCAAAGCAUCCUUCGAAAUGUUGAAAUCCCUCGUGUAAAUAAAUGGAAUCAAGUCCAGGUUUCCAUAAGAGCAAUGCGCAAGAAAUGAACUGGGAAAAAGAAACUCAAAUUGCAGUUCGUGUAUACAGGCAACAAAAUAUCUUAUAUGAUAUCUGAUUUAGGGACCCUAGAAUGUUCGCUGAUGAUGGAAACUUAUGGCCAAAACUACAACCACCAACUAAAGAUUGGGAAGGGCUUAAAAAUGACAUGCAUUCCAAAGGAAGGAAAGAUGGGAUGAGUGGUUACAUCGAAGAGCACACUCUGCUGCAAUGGGAGUCGUCGAAGGAAGAAUAAACCAUGGCUGCUGAGCUUGUGGGUGGAGCAUUUCUCUCUGCUACUCACAUCGCUUUCGAAAAGUUGGCUUCUUCUAUUCACUACUUCCAAUCAAAAAACCUCAAAGAUGGCUUGCUUGAAAAGCUCCACCUCACUCUCAUCUCUGUGAAUCAAGUGCUUGAUGAUGUAGAAGUAAAGCAGCACACAAACUCUAAUGUGAAGAAGUGGCUUCAGGAGCUCAAACAUGCUAUUUAUAUGGCUAAUGACCUCUUAGAUGAGAUUGCUACUGAGGCGACCAAGUUGAAGAUCGAAGCUGAGAAUCAACUUGCUCCCAAUAAGGUACGAAGCUACUUAACUGCUUCUGACAAUCCAUUUGACAAACACAUGGAAGCUAGAAUCCAAGAAGUGCUUGACAACCUGGAGUUCCUUGCAAAACAAAAGGUGCUUUGGGAUUGAAGGAACUAUCUGGCGGUGGUAGUGAAGUUGGAGUUGGUGGGAAAGUAUCUUCUAGGUUGCCAACUAUGUCUCUGGCUGCUGAUGAGUCACGUAUAUAUGGCAGAGAUGGUGAUAAAGAAGAAAUAUUUCGUCUUUUACUCGAUGAAAAUCUUAGCAGGGACCCACUAUCUGUAAUUUCUGUAGUGGGUAUGGGUGGAUUAGGAAAAACCACUCUUGCUCAGCUGGUGUACAAUGAUGGGAGGAUCAGGGAUCAAUUUCAACUCAAAGCUUGGGUGUGAAGAGAGAGGAAGAGGAUCAGAUCGUGAAAGAUUGAUUUGUUUUGGGAGGGGCAAAAUUAUAUUUUUGCUAACAACAAAAAUUGCAAGAAAAAACCUCGUGCCUGCAAUGUAUUUUUAUAUUUUAUUAGACCCAAAGUGUAAUUGUGUGUGU